Molecule: long non-coding RNA, 237 nt
Filed under: Gallus gallus (chicken)
Lineage: Eukaryota; Metazoa; Chordata; Aves; Galliformes; Phasianidae
Source: RNAcentral
UGCUGAGGGAACCAUUUUCCUGGUGAUGACAGAAGUUUGGCAAGGUCCACAGUAGGAAAGUAUGCAGCUCAGCUUUAAGAUAUCCAAGGCCUCGGUCUCCUCUUGAAAGAAGAAAGACCAAGAUGAAAAUCACCUAAUGGAGGCAAACUGGUCAUUUCAUGACAUGCAACAUCAGUUCAAGUUUUGAGCCUACUGAGCAACUAUUUCUUGGGAUUCACUUCAAAGCAAACAGAGCAC